This is a long non-coding RNA of Homo sapiens (human), 2146 nucleotides long. RefSeq lists it as uncharacterized. The transcript has 2 exons. Lineage: Eukaryota; Metazoa; Chordata; Mammalia; Primates; Hominidae. The record is from RefSeq and is a predicted model, not a curated record.
UCCGCCCAUCUUGGCAUCCCAAAGUGCUGGGAUUACAGGCAUGAGCCACCGCGCCCAGCCAAAAGUAUAUUUAGCUGGAUUAGGUAUAGAUCUACCCAAGGAGAUUGAAGGGGGCAGUCAUACAUUUUCAUCUAAAAUCUUCUUUCUUUCCUUAAAAUCUUACAAAAUCAAAUGGGUGGCUGCUUCUACCAAACUGCCCACUCACUUCUUACUUCUCAAUUAGUUUUCUCUCUCUUUCUCCCUCAAUAAAGAUAGGGCACUAUGGAAGAUUACACCAUUUCAAACACAUUCCAAAAUGCUGUCUCAGCCCAUGCCUGGCUGUUACUGCUUUAGGAGAAUCUGAUGAACAUGUUUAAACACUCUUAGCACCCGAGGUUGUCUGUGUAUAGUUGGGGAGCAGGUGGCCCGCCUGGGUAGAAAGUUAUUACCUAUUUUCAUUUUUGCUUUGAAGGUUAAAAAGAGUCUGAUUCUAAUAAUCGAUUUACCUCUUAAAUAGGGAAAUAAGUCUGACUCCUGGGAAAAGGACAUAAAUUAACCUCUGGAAGUCAUCAGAACUUAUUAGCACAUAAAUGCUUCUGCUAAAUCUGUCACCUUUCAUUGAGCGCUCUGCCCGUCAUGGGCUGUAUUUGAGUUUUGUGGUAUGCACUUAAGAUUUUUAAGUGUGAGAGACAUUUCCUUCUUUCAGGGUGAGGCAGGGUGACCCAAGGUCUCUGAAAGGUAAAUACCAACUCCCCUGUCUCCCGAGCGAGCGAGCGAGCGACGGGCCUGUUUACAGUGUACCACCCUUGUCUGCAGGGAACAUGCUUCACAUUUUCUUCCAGGUGACGGGCUGCCUGCCAGUGACACCGCACACCUCGAGAGCUGCACAGUUUCUGCAGCAAUAUCAUUCCUCUUCGGCUCCACCCUUUCCCUUUGAGCUUUACAUUUCGUCCUUGCUCUGUGCAGUGCACCAAUCAACACAAAUUCAGGCAACCCCUCAUUUCUCCCUCCUUUGAUGACCCUGAAGCUCAUCAUCUGGCCAGCCCAUCGCAGCCCAGAGCCAUGUGUUGGGCGUGCUUCUGCCGUGGCGCUGGGAAGUCUGUCUGGGUGCUGUAUUGUUUUAUAUUUUUCUCCCUCCUUCCCAUGGCACCCUUUCUGCUGUUCCUUUCCCACCUUAAAAAUAAAUCCAAGGAUAUGAAUAGCUUGAAAUGAACUAAAUCGGUCAUUGUUAUUACAGGAAAACUUUAUACAGAAUGCAAGCAAUAAUCCGCUUAUAUACACUGCGCUCUUACACAAUAACUGAUCCUUCAUCGCUCUUCUCUGCUUGGCAAACGGAGUAGCUACCUUCUCAUUCCCACAGUAUUGUGUAAACAUGAAAAGAAGCCAGAAGAGGUUCCUUUUAUUUUGUUUUUGUUUUUUUGUUGUUUGCUGGCUUCAGGCUGGGCCCCAGCAGAGGGCGAGUGGCAGGAGGACACUUGAGUGGAUUCUGCAAAAAGCCACACAGCUUUCCUCUGAUGGAUCAAAAUGAAAGAACGUCGGUCCUGGCAGUCUUUCAGCCACAAAGCUUUGAGAAAUGGGGCUAAAUAUUAAUAAUAACUGCUUGGAUUAUAAUGAGGAAUCAAUCAAAACACAUACUGUUGAUGAAGAUGCCUUGAACACCGUGGAUGCUGUAGAAUAAGGGAUUAUGACUACAGCAAUUCUUGGCUCCCUUCUCUGUUUGUUUAAGGGUUACACAGGCUUUGUUUAAUAUCUCCGUGUCUCAGUCCUUUCGGUUGAAGCACAAGGCAUGCUUCAGCCACCUGAGAUUAACUGCUAAACCCUGCAGCAAGCCAGCAUCUCCUCCCUGCUGCCUCUCAUCCGUCAGGAUCUGCUCUGGAAAUGGGCCAGUGGUGACGUGUGGGAAUGCAGCCCUUUGUGUUUGUUUUUGGUGUUGGAUUUGGUGGCCUUGGUCACGGAUUGGCUUCCUUCUUUGAAACUGAACAUCUUCCAUGCCUUUGUGAUUGAGUGACAAAAGUUCAACCUGCACAUGCCAAAAUGAACAGCCUAGAAAACUGAUUAUGGUUUCAGGACCAGCUUUAAAAAAAAGCAACAAAACCCUUCCAGUCACCCAGAGUUCUAAACAUAAUCGGUUGGUUCCCAGAAGUACAAUAAAAGGAAGCCAGAAGUA